RNAcentral lists this transfer RNA (70 nucleotides) under Congrogadus subducens (carpet eel blenny). Its description in RNAcentral is "tRNA-Trp". It matches the Rfam family "tRNA". From Rfam's summary of the family: Transfer RNA (tRNA) molecules are approximately 80 nucleotides in length. Their secondary structure includes four short double-helical elements and three loops (D, anti-codon, and T loops). Further hydrogen bonds mediate the characteristic L-shaped molecular structure. tRNAs have two regions of fundamental functional importance: the anti-codon, which is responsible for specific mRNA codon recognition, and the 3' end, to which the tRNAs corresponding amino acid is attached (by aminoacyl-tRNA synthetases). tRNAs cope with the degeneracy of the genetic code in two manners: having more than one tRNA (with a specific anti-codon) for a particular amino acid; and 'wobble' base-pairing, i.e. permitting non-standard base-pairing at the 3rd anti-codon position. The record is from RNAcentral. Lineage: Eukaryota; Metazoa; Chordata; Actinopteri; Pseudochromidae.
AAGGAUUUAGGAUAAUUGAGACCAGGGACCUUCAAAGCCCCAAGAGGAAGUGAAAAUCUUCCAAUCCUUG